AUGGCAACAACUAAUGCUGGUGUUCAUGAAUUAUUGCCGCAUGCCGAUGGAUUAAAGGAAGAGAAUUCCCUAGACGUGCAUAUUUGCAUGCAAGGUGAAAGGGUAUUAAAUCAAGGCAAGGAGUUUGCUUCCAAAACUGAUCAGACUCAGUUUGGCAAGGAGUUCACUAAUUUCUGGAAAGAGUGUGGAGCCUACGUUGAUGCAAGGGACCUUUGGAUUUGUGAUUUAUUUGGUCCAAUCAAAAAUAUAAGAUGCAGAGAUUUCUUGCCAUUCGCACGUAAAGAAAAGAUUGUCAAUCGCAUCAACAGACCAUGCAAGAUUAGAGACGUGCUUUGCUUGAGAGGAUGUGGAUGGGGUCCACCGUACAAGCAGAUCACGUACGAGGAGAUGGUGCACCUAUUUUUAAAGGAAUCAAGUUUAAGUCCGUAUGUUAGUUUUAGAAGUAAUAGACAAAGCUAUCUAUUGAGAUGUAAAAGUCAAAUACCUUUACGUUUUAGGAGAGCCCAUAUUUUAUUUGAGUCAGAGAUAGGGUCGUGUCCUUAUUUUUGCAAGUCUAGACGUGGGCUGUUAAUAGCCAUGGUGCGGCAAUGUAAAGGGGGAGGCUAUAUUUUGAUAAUAAACACGAUGUGUUUUUAG
This 636-nucleotide ribosomal RNA is filed under the name Triticum aestivum (bread wheat). RNAcentral's name for it is "partial small subunit ribosomal RNA". Lineage: Eukaryota; Viridiplantae; Streptophyta; Magnoliopsida; Poales; Poaceae. The record is from RNAcentral.